UGGGCAAGUGCGGCGUGCUAAUACAUGCAAGUCGAGCGGACGGAUGGGAGCUUGCUCCCUGAAGUCAGCGGCGGACGGGUGAGUAACACGUGGGCAACCUGCCUGUAAGACUGGGAUAACUCCGGGAAACCGGGGCUAAUACCGGAUAACUCUUUUCCUCACAUGAGGAAAAGCUGAAAGAUGGUUUCGGCUAUCACUUACAGAUGGGCCCGCGGCGCAUUAGCUAGUUGGUGAGGUAACGGCUCACCAAGGCCACGAUGCGUAGCCGACCUGAGAGGGUGAUCGGCCACACUGGGACUGAGACACGGCCCAGACUCCUACGGGAGGCAGCAGUAGGGAAUCUUCCGCAAUGGACGAAAGUCUGACGGAGCAACGCCGCGUGAGUGAUGAAGGUUUUCGGAUCGUAAAACUCUGUUGUCAGGGAAGAACAAGUACCGGAGUAACUGCCGGUACCUUGACGGUACCUGACCAGAAAGCCACGGCUAACUACGUGCCAGCAGCCGCGGUAAU
This 510-nucleotide ribosomal RNA is filed under the name Cytobacillus firmus. RNAcentral's name for it is "bacterial SSU rRNA". It matches the Rfam family "Bacterial small subunit ribosomal RNA", at positions 39 to 524 of the family's 1533-position model. The record is from RNAcentral. Lineage: Bacteria; Bacillati; Bacillota; Bacilli; Caryophanales; Bacillaceae.